Molecule: RNA transcript, 3437 nt
Organism: Venturia canescens
Lineage: Eukaryota; Metazoa; Arthropoda; Insecta; Hymenoptera; Ichneumonidae
Exons: 2
Source: RefSeq, a predicted model, not a curated record
GCCUGGAAAGCAGUUCAAAUUUUUGUGUAAUUUUUGCUUCGAUAUUUACUCAUUGAAGGGUGGAAAUCAUUUGAAAAAUUAAUGUUUUCUACUCUUGAUGCUUACCAUUGGUGACUUAUAUUUACGUUGAAUUACUUGUCUAGUUUUUGGAUCUGGAAAAGAAAGACGAAGAAGCCUCUUAGUGAUUUUAUUAAUCACGGUAGAAUUGAAAAAAAAAUAUUUUUAAUUUAUCAAUAAAAUUAUUAUCACCGUCGACAUACUUAAAAUGAUUAGUCAUGGUGUCGAAACAAAAUACACUUUUUGUUAUUAAUAUAAUUGAAUAAAAAUGAGAAAGCAAACACACGAAAAAACAAGCGGAAAAAAGUAUGUUAAUAAACACGAAUUAUACUCACUGAAUUCUUCCAAAACGAAGAUCCCACCAUUCUGAGUAAAGCACUUGCUGAUAUGAUCUAGUCUUACAAAGAACUGCAAAUAACCCAAUCGUGUCCCAUUAGUUGCGAAAAACAAAGAAAUUAAUCAAGUGCUUAAAGUGUAUUCAUGCCCUAAAUUUUGUUUCGGGAAUAUCAUUGAUAUAUGAUAUUGGCUAUCAACAAUGUGUAUUGCAAGGAUUCAAUUCGGUGUUUGAAGCUCAGUUACAAUGUUGAUGUUUUUUCAAACGAAUUAAACUUCAGAACCAUCCAAACGGAGUGUGGAGAAAAUUGUGAAAUGAAACGUCUUCAGUGAUUGUUCUAUGCAACAAAGCAUUGACGAAUUACAAGUCUUCGAAGUUCAACCAAUUGAUAGUCCGCUUUGGCUCGGUGGGCGGAGCGAAUGCGCACGGCUCUGAUCAGACUUCCGAAUGGUUCAACUUCGGAGGUUAUAAUAACUGAUGAAUAUUUUGUGGUAGAGAAAAGCGAUCAAGAACUUUCGUCUCAAUAUUUCAAGCUGAAUCCAAUUGCGCACUUCAGACCUUCGAUUCCAUGUUUCUCAGAGUACGUUUUUUUUAAGCGGAGAGAUAUCUACAGCUUCGGGAAAGCUUUUUCGUGCAGUGGUGCCAACUAGUUGUCAUUAUUAAACGAUCGAUCGAAAAGUCCACGCACGAAGACUGUAAAACGUAAAACAGUAACUUGAAUACUGCUCGUUCAGUUUUAACGCAAAUGAACAUCGAGCUGAUGGAACGACGAGUUACCGAUUCAAAUACAAACAAAAUAAACCGAUAGAAUUUAUCAUUUCGAAGGUAAAUGCCUCGAAGUAUUUUUGUCCGUUCGACAUAUUGAAAAAACAAACAAACUUCACACACCAGAGACACAGCAACUUUUUGAUCGAAAUCACCCGAAUCACGUUAAAGAUAAAACCAUGCAACAAAGGAAUCAAGCGGGUAAGGUUUGCAAAUAUUGAUAAUAUGCAUAUAAAUAUACAUAACCGUGAUGUAUGGCGAUGUAUAUUUAUAUACAUGCAUAAACAGCGGAAAUGGCAUUCGAUAAAGCCGUGCAAGCGUUUAUCUAAGCAGCGGCAGGCAACUCUGGAGAUGGCCUAAACGCAUCUUACAUCGUUGAUUGCUUCAGCGUUCAUACUUGAUGCUAAAUGUGCAUUGUUGUAUCUAUGUAUAAUUCAGCAGUGGACAGGGGUUUUCCGCUACUAAUUAAUGGAUGCGGCAUAUUAUGUAUACGUUUGCAAUUUAUUAUUAUUAUUAUUGCAGAGUAAUAAUAUUUCGCAUAAUAUGAGAUAAAUAUGCUUUUAAUUUAUACGUUGAAGGGUGCUAAUUAUCCUGCGUGGCUUGUGUACGUGCAAUUGUUUGAUUUUUGUUCAAUUUUUUUCUUUUUCAUCUACGAUUCGGUAAUUGGUGUUCAAUAGUGAUGUGUUCCAUUGCCAAGAGAUAUUAUUGCUGGUCGUUGGGUAAAACUGUGAAAUGAACUAAUCGUGUGGUGAUCCGGUGAGCGAUGAUUGAUUAACUAUUACAACCUCGUCUAUUUGUGAGUGCAACCGGACGAUCUAACGUUUUCGGUGUAUCGUGUUGAAAAAGUGCAUUUCUAAAUAUACUGAAUGAAAAUCGAAUCGCCAUCGUUUUUCCUUCAAGUGAGCAAGAACAAAUAGUUCAAAGUCGAAAAAGAAUUCCUAUCGGUUCCCGGUUGACGACUUGAGUGUAAUAUUAUUUCAUGUUUUUCUUUCGAAUUGUUGUAUCGAGAAUUCGUUAUCUCUUCUGGGAAAGGAUGGAAAGAAUUUUUCUUGAAAUUCGAGUCGGUAAGAGCUCGUUAAGAAUUCAUCGAUUAAUAAAUGGAAAAAUUGAAUCUAUUUUAUGGUGUUUUACUUUAAAAAAUGAAGUCAGACGUCAGCCAUUUUAUGACGAUGAAAUGCACUUUUUCGUACUUAUUAUAAGGCUAAAGAAGAUUCUUCAUAACUAGCGUUUAUCCGUGCGGUAUUUCGGAAUCGCUUCAUAAAGCUUCUGCAACACUUGUCCAAAUUUUUCAAGUACGUCAACUCGGCCUAAUUACGUUAUUUUUUUUUCUCUAAAAAGCUCGUUUACGUGAUUCGUCUAUGGGACAUUUCAUGAAACAUCUAUCACAACUAACACCGAUCAGUGGUAGGUAAAACAGUGAGCCAGGGCAAUGUCGACGAGGACAGGACAAGUAACAGAAAACAGAAAGAGAGAGAAAUUAAAGAUUUCGUUUCGAUCAUAGUCAAUAUAUAUAUCCAUAUAUAUACAAUAUACAAAUAUAUAUAUAUAUUCAUAAUGGAAUAAAUGUAUAAAUAUAUAUUCAUAUAAUUAAAUAAAUAUAUAUAUAUAUAUAUCAAUAUGUAUAUUGAUGCACCCAGUAGUUGUCACUUAUUGUUGGUGAUGGCCGCAAUUGUUCAGCCGCACUUUGGGUCGAGUUGAUUAUUUGGGAUAAAACUGCCUACGCAUAUAAUAUUUUUUGUUCCAUUGUUCAAGGACCAUCUCAAAAGUUCCCCGAAGCAAAGAAAAAUCUAUUUUUCGUUACUACCGACUGAAUAACUUGACUGAUAAAGUCAAGGUUUUUUUCUUUUUAUUCUACUUCGUAGACAACGUAAAUUUCGUUUACCUUUUCGUAAAUUUGUCAAAAGUGAAUUUAGAAAGAAGCCAAUAGUUGACAGAAAUUUUGGAAUAUUUUUAUUUGGAACGAACGUCAAAUAGACUCCUCUUAGCACAUUACCAUGGCAGAUAGGAGAAAAAGGAGAGAAAAAGAUAUACACGAUAGUCAGAGAAAGUCAGAACUUUAGAAAAUAAGAGAAAGAUUUAAUUUCAAUGUUUACAUAUAUAUAUGUUUUUAUUUUUUUUUUUCUGAAAAAAAAUAUAUAUAUAUAUAUAUAUAUGCAUAGAUAAUGGGCAUCCAACAUUCAGUAGAAAUAAUGAAACUACAGAUGUGUCGUAUGUUCUUGUCAUAUAAUAUAUGUAUAUCGUUGAAGAAAGUGUAAAAUAAAAUAAAUUAAAUAUACAAGAG